Molecule: unclassified non-coding RNA, 324 nt
Filed under: uncultured fungus
Lineage: Eukaryota; Fungi
Description: partial contains small subunit ribosomal RNA, internal transcribed spacer 1, and 5.8S ribosomal RNA
Rfam family: Eukaryotic small subunit ribosomal RNA (bases 1-73)
Source: RNAcentral
ACAAACUUGGUCAUUUAGAGGAAGUAAAAGUCGUAACAAGGUUUUCGUAGGUGAACCUGCGAAAGGAUCAUUACCGAGUUAGGGUCUUCUACAGGCCCGACCUCCCAACCCCAUGUUUACUUGUACCUUGUGUUGCUUCGGCGGGCCCGUCUCGCGAGAGACCGCCGGCGGCCCCGGGAAACCGGGCCUCUGGUCCGCGCCCGUCGACAGCCCAACCUCAAAAUUCUUGAACCAUUCGUGUCUAUGUCUGAAUAUCUAUUACAAAUAAAGCAAAAAACUUUCAACAACGGAUCUCUUGGUUCUGGCAUCGAUGAAGAACGCAGC